This 253-nucleotide ribosomal RNA is filed under the name uncultured bacterium. RNAcentral describes it as "partial 16S ribosomal RNA". It matches the Rfam family "Bacterial small subunit ribosomal RNA", at positions 524 to 776 of the family's 1533-position model. The record is from RNAcentral.
UACGUAGGGGGCUAGCGUUGUCCGGAUUUAUUGGGCGUAAAGAGCGUGUAGGCGGCCAGGUAGGUCUGCUGUGAAAACUCGAGGCUCAACCUCGAGACGUCGGCGGAAACCAUCUGGCUAGAGUCCGGAAGAGGAGAGUGGAAUUCCUGGUGUAGCGGUGAAAUGCGCAGAUAUCAGGAAGAACACCGGUGGCGAAGGCGGAUCUCUGGGCCUUACCUGACGCUCAGGCGCGAAAGCUAGGGGAGCGAACUGG